GAUGAAGAACGUAGCGAAAUGCGAUAAGUAAUGUGAAUUGCAGAAUCCAGUGAAUCAUCGAAUCUUUGAACGCACAUUGCGCCCGCCAGCAUUCUGGCGGGCAUGCCUGUUCGAGCGUCAUUUCAACCCUCGACCUCCCUUUGGGGAAGUCGGCGUUGGGGACCGGCAGCACACCGCCGGCCCUGAAAUGGAGUGGCGGCCCAUCCGCGGCGACCUCUGCGUAGUAAACCAACUCGCACCGGAACCCCGACGUGGCCACGCCGUAAAACACCCAACUUCUGAACGUUGACCUCGAAUCAGGUAGGACUACCCGCUGAACUUAAGCAUAUCAAUAAGCGGAGGA
RNAcentral lists this unclassified non-coding RNA (343 nucleotides) under soil metagenome. Its description in RNAcentral is "partial contains 5.8S ribosomal RNA, internal transcribed spacer 2, and large subunit ribosomal RNA". The stretch from base 1 to 120 matches the Rfam family "5.8S ribosomal RNA", at positions 35 to 154 of the family's 154-position model. The record is from RNAcentral.